GUUACUCAGCUAUAAAAACUUCCCAUCAGGCUGUCAGUGGAGUUCACAGCACGUCACUUUCAACAUAAACCAUGUUUUCUGUAGCUCUGCUGCUGCUGUUGGCAGCUGGAUGUGUGAAGUGUCAACAGUUGACACAGCCAGCCUCUGUGACUGUGCAGCCAGGUCAACGUCUGACCAUCACCUGUCAGGUCUCUUAUUCUGUUAGUGGCUAUCGUACAGCUUGGAUCAGACAGCCUGCAGGGAAAGGACUGGAGUGGAUUGGAAGUGCACAUGUUGGAUGGACAACAUCCUACAAAGAUUCCCUAAAGAACAAGUUCAGUAUCGACUUAGACUCUUCCAGCAACAGAAUGACUCUAAACGGACAGAAUGUGCAGCCUGAAGACACUGCUGUGUAUUACUGUGCCAGAGAGCCACAAUGACACAAACCAUCAGGA
Non-coding RNA from Micropterus salmoides (largemouth bass), 434 nucleotides. The record is from the annotation of a RefSeq genome assembly. NCBI's taxonomy places the organism in Eukaryota, Metazoa, Chordata, Actinopteri, Centrarchiformes, Centrarchidae.